Molecule: ribosomal RNA, 253 nt
Filed under: uncultured bacterium
Lineage: Bacteria
Description: partial 16S ribosomal RNA
Rfam family: Bacterial small subunit ribosomal RNA
Source: RNAcentral
UACAUGGGGUGCAAACGUUGCUCGGAAUUAUUGGGCGUAAAGCGCGCGUAGGCGGUUAUCUAAGUCGGAUGUGAAAGCCCUCGGCUUAACUGAGGAAGUGCACCCGAAACUGGAUAGCUAGAGUACGAAAGAGGGUCGCGGAAUUCCCAGUGUAGAGGUGAAAUUCGUAGAUAUCGGGAGGAACACCGGUGGCGAAGGCGGCGACCUGGGUCGAGACUGACGCUGAGGCGCGAAAGCGUGGGGAGCAAACAGG